This 492-nucleotide ribosomal RNA is filed under the name uncultured bacterium. Its description in RNAcentral is "partial 16S ribosomal RNA". It matches the Rfam family "Bacterial small subunit ribosomal RNA", at positions 29 to 507 of the family's 1533-position model. The record is from RNAcentral.
AGUGAACGCUGGCGGUAGGCCUAACACAUGCAAGUCGAACGGCAGCACAGUAAGAGCUUGCUCUUACGGGUGGCGGGAGGCGGACGGGUGAGGAAAACAUCGGGAUCUACUCUUUCGGGGGGGAUAACGUAGGGAAGGUUAAGAUAGUAUAGCAUACGCCGUACGGUGGAAAGGAGGGGAACUUCGGACCUUGUGCGAUUGAAUGAGCCGAUGUCGGAUUAGCUGGUUGGGGGGGUAAAGGCCCACCAAGGCGACGAUCGGCAGCUGGUGUGAGAGGUUGGUCAGCCACACUGGAACUGGGACACGGACCAGACUCCUACGGGAGGCAGCAGUGGGCAAUAUUGGACAAUGGGCGCAAGCCUGAUCCAGCCGUACCGCGUGGGUGAAGAAGGCCUUCGGGUUGUAAAGCCCUUUUGUUGGGAAAGAAAAGCAGCAGGUUAAUACCCCGCUGUUCUGACGGUACCCAAAGAAUAAGCACCGGCUAACUUCGUG